UGCCGGGAAACUACAGGACCGA
This 22-nucleotide microRNA is filed under the name Canis lupus familiaris (dog). RNAcentral describes it as "Cfa-Novel-11_5p* (star (passenger))". The record is from RNAcentral. Lineage: Eukaryota; Metazoa; Chordata; Mammalia; Carnivora; Canidae.